CACAUAAGCAUUCCGCCUGGGGGAGUACGGCCGCAAAGGUUGAAACUCAAAGGAAUUGACGGGGGCCCGCACAAGCAGCGGAGCAUGUGGUUUAAUUCGACGCAACGCGAAGAACCUUUACCAGGUCUUGACAUCCAGUUAAAGCAGCAGAGAUGCUGUGAGAGCUUGCUCGAACUGAGACAGGUGGUGCAUGGUUGUCGUCAGCUCGUGUCGUGAGAUGUUGGGUUAAGUCCCGCAACGAGCGCAACCCUUGCUGAUAGUUACUAACGAGUAAAGUUGAGGACUCUAUCAGGACUGCCGGGGACAACUCGGAGGAAGGUGGGGACGACGUCAAAUCAUCAUGCCCCUUAUGACCUGGGCUACACACGUGCUACAAUGGCCGUAACAGAGAGGGGCGAAGGAGUAAUCUGGAGCAGAUCUCAAAAAAGCGGUCUCAGUUCGGAUUGUGGGCUGCAACCCGCCCACAUGAAGUCGGAGUUGCUAGUAAUCGCGGAUCAGCAUGCCGCGGUGAAUACGUUCCCGGGCCUUGUACACACCGCCCGUCACACCAUGGGAGUUGAUAGCACCCGAAACAGGUGAGGUAACCGGAAGGGGCCAGCCUGCUAAGGUGAGAUCAAUGACUGGGGUGAAGUCGUAACAAGGUAGCCG
This 648-nucleotide ribosomal RNA is filed under the name uncultured bacterium. RNAcentral's name for it is "bacterial SSU rRNA". It matches the Rfam family "Bacterial small subunit ribosomal RNA", at positions 856 to 1502 of the family's 1533-position model. The record is from RNAcentral.